Molecule: long non-coding RNA, 1225 nt
Organism: Corticium candelabrum
Lineage: Eukaryota; Metazoa; Porifera; Homoscleromorpha; Homosclerophorida; Plakinidae
Exons: 6
Source: RefSeq, a predicted model, not a curated record
UUUUAAAGGUGUACGUACAUACACGGAAAUAUUUUUAUAUUUUAAAACAAGGUUUCUAUAAAAAAUUGCAUUAUAAUGUGCAUUUGGUUUUAAGCAGCAGGUUUGAGGUGUGUACAUAUGACGUAAAAGUGAGAACGGAUGUCACUUUAGCGGAAAACUUAUUGAUGACUACUCUCUGUUCGCGUUGACUUUGUGCUUUGAAAAUCUGUAAUAACUUCUGCACAAUAGGGCAGACAGUAACGAUCUUGGUAUCGUUCGAAACCGCAAGUUCCCGGAUUUUCUAUAGUUAGGGUAACGACGGCGUAUGUAUUACACAGGCGGUUUGAUAAGGCUUUUUCAUAUCAAAAGUCGUUAGGGUUCUUAACUCAUUAAGAAGGUAUGGUCUUACAGCAAGAAUGCUGCUAAUAUUCUCGUUCUGCUUUGUCUUGAUAGCCUGCGACUUCCUCUACUGUUACCUAACAUCUUUAUAUUGUAAUAUGACCUCUAAAUUGUACAGUUAAUGGGAUAUCUCUUAACAUCUGAGUGUGGUAAACAAAUACAGCUGCAUCAUUAGUGACUUCCGAGCGCAAAGUCAACGCGAACAGAGAGUAGCUUAGGCAGUGAAUGCGACAGAACAAGCGGCUCUAGUUAUGAAGACAGCAGGCGAGCUCAAGAAAGCUCUGCGUAAUCAUACUCUUCACGAGGUACGAUCGGUAGCGGGCAAAACACUAUUGUUUACAAACCUUUAGUAUUGUAUGGAGUAGAUACUGGUGAUGUGGAGCAUCAUUAAAAGGCUCGGAAGAUGUUGAAAGUGAAGCUGUAGAAUAGGUGGAGCUGUCUAACGUUGAGCUUGUCAGUGAGACACUAUCGCUGGUAGCACCCGAAGAUGAGCAAAGCGAAGGACUACUUGAUUUAUCAUGGUGUAGUUGUGGUUGCUGACUUCUGGCCGACAGUGGGCUGAAUGUAUUGCUCAGCGUGGUAACCUGGUGUAUCAAUUGGAAGAUGCAUGGGGUCAAUGUGUGUCAUUUGCAAACCUUGACUCGAGGGCAGUCCAGAUGGUAAAAAGAGAGGUUUCUGUGCCGAAAACAGAACUGAGAUUUUCAUCAGCAUCAACAGGGUUAUUGAAGCUGCCAGUGUUUCAUAUUGUGCAAGGCCUUCAAAUUCUUGGCUCAAUGGAUCGUCUUCUUAAGUCCUUUGGUGCAAGACUUUGGCAGCACAUCCUGAAACCUACAAUUGAGACUUCCAG